Long non-coding RNA from Piliocolobus tephrosceles (Ugandan red Colobus), 480 nucleotides. RefSeq lists it as uncharacterized. The record is from RefSeq and is a predicted model, not a curated record. The transcript is spliced from 2 exons. Lineage: Eukaryota; Metazoa; Chordata; Mammalia; Primates; Cercopithecidae.
AAGCAGGCCUGUCUGAAUUCUUAGCAGUGAUCUCCAAGGGCACCAUAACCUUGCAAGAAAGAGACUGCCAGGCCUGCAUCUCUUUCUGAUGCAGAAACCAGGGCCCAGAGAAGGGGCUAGAGCAUCUUGGACGGAGAAACCUCGGCAAAGACAAAGGCCCAUUGUCCCCCUUCCCCGGCCUUCUGCCAGCUCCCUCCCCAGUCACCAGACAAGGCCAGCCCUGCCCACAGCCCCCAGAGGCUGCCACGCGCCAAUAUGGGGUGACUCAGUGCCCCCUCCCUUCCCAUUGGUUGAUGAUGCCUGGAAUCCCACCAUCAGAGCCUUGUAAGGUUGCUGUGGGAUGGGUGGGGGUGAGGCAGAAAAAGACAAGAAGGUGGUGGGGGCCUCUGGCUUGUGGAUUUCGUAAUCACACCUUUACGGUGGGCUUGGGUGGGAGAUCAGGCAAUACUAAAUAAUAAAAACAACACAUUUCACACUUGC